RNAcentral lists this ribosomal RNA (781 nucleotides) under Rummeliibacillus sp. Its description in RNAcentral is "bacterial SSU rRNA". It matches the Rfam family "Bacterial small subunit ribosomal RNA", at positions 56 to 822 of the family's 1533-position model. Lineage: Bacteria; Bacillati; Bacillota; Bacilli; Caryophanales; Caryophanaceae. The record is from RNAcentral.
UGCAAGUCGAGCGAAUGACGAGGAGCUUGCUCCUCUGAUUUAGCGGCGGACGGGUGAGUAACACGUGGGCAACCUGCCCUGCAGACUGGGAUAACUUCGGGAAACCGGAGCUAAUACCGGAUAAUCCAUUUUACUUCAUGGUGAAAUGUUGAAAGGCGCUUUCGCGCCACUGCAGGAUGGGCCCGCGGUGCAUUAGCUAGUUGGUGGGGUAACGGCCUACCAAGGCGACGAUGCAUAGCCGACCUGAGAGGGUGAUCGGCCACAUUGGGACUGAGACACGGCCCAAACUCCUACGGGAGGCAGCAGUAGGGAAUCUUCCACAAUGGACGAAAGUCUGAUGGAGCAACGCCGCGUGAGUGAUGAAGGUUUUCGGAUCGUAAAACUCUGUUGUAAGGGAAGAACAAGUACGUUAGGAAAUGAACGUACCUUGACGGUACCUUAUUAGAAAGCCACGGCUAACUACGUGCCAGCAGCCGCGGUAAUACGUAGGUGGCAAGCGUUGUCCGGAUUUAUUGGGCGUAAAGCGCGCGCAGGUGGUUUCUUAAGUCUGAUGUGAAAUCUCGCGGCUCAACCGCGAGCGGUCAUUGGAAACUGGGGAACUUGAGUGCAGAAGAGGAUAGUGGAAUUCCAAGUGUAGCGGUGAAAUGCGUAGAGAUUUGGAGGAACACCAGUGGCGAAGGCGACUGUCUGGUCUGUAACUGACACUGAGGCGCGAAAGCGUGGGGAGCAAACAGGAUUAGAUACCCUGGUAGUCCACGCCGUAAACGAUGAGUGCUAAGUG